This 365-nucleotide ribosomal RNA is filed under the name uncultured bacterium. RNAcentral describes it as "bacterial SSU rRNA". It matches the Rfam family "Bacterial small subunit ribosomal RNA", at positions 527 to 896 of the family's 1533-position model. The record is from RNAcentral.
GUAAGGACCGAGCGUUGUCCGGAAUCAUUGGGCGUAAAGGGUACGUAGGCGGGUCAUUAAGUUAGAAGUCAAAGGCUAUAGCUCAACUAUAGUAAGCUUCUAAAACUGGAGACCUUGAGUAAUGGAAGGGAAAGUGGAAUUCCUAGUGUAGCGGUGGAAUGCGCAGAUAUUAGGAGGAAUACCGGUGGCGAAGGCGACUUUCUGGCCAUUAACUGACGCUGAGGUACGAAAGCGUGGGUAGCAAACAGGAUUAGAUACCCUGGUAGUCCACGCCGUAAACGAUGAGUGUUAGGUGUCUGGAGUAAAUCUGGGUGCCGCAGCUAACGCAUUAAACACUCCGCCUGGGGAGUACGCACGCAAGUGUG